UGGGGAAUUUUGGACAAUGGGCGAAAGCCUGAUCCAGCAAUGCCGCGUGUGUGAAGAAGGCCUUCGGGUUGUAAAGCACUUUUGUCCGGAAAGAAAUCCUUGGCUCUAAUACAGUCGGGGGAUGACGGUACCGGAAGAAUAAGCACCGGCUAACUACGUGCCAGCAGCCGCGGUAAUACGUAGGGUGCAAGCGUUAAUCGGAAUUACUGGGCGUAAAGCGUGCGCAGGCGGUUUGCUAAGACCGAUGUGAAAUCCCCGGGCUCAACCUGGGAACUGCAUUGGUGACUGGCAGGCUGGAGUAUGGCAGAGGGGGGUAGAAUUCCACGUGUAGCAGUGAAAUGCGUAGAGAUGUGGAGGAAUACCGAUGGCGAAGGCAGCCCCCUGGGCCAAUACUGACGCUCAUGCACGAAAGCGUGGGGAGCAAACAGGAUUAGAUACCCUGGUAGUCCACGCCCUAAACGAUGUCAACUAGUUGUUGGGGAUUCAUUUCCUUAGUAACGUAGCUAACGCGUGAAGUUGACCGCCUGGGGAGUACGGUCGCAAGAUUAAAACUCAAAGGAAUUGACGGGGUCAUAGCUGUUUCCUG
Molecule: ribosomal RNA, 586 nt
Filed under: uncultured bacterium
Lineage: Bacteria
Description: partial 16S ribosomal RNA
Rfam family: Bacterial small subunit ribosomal RNA
Source: RNAcentral